AUUUGUGACAAUAAUAGUGCAAUUGCAGAGUAGGAGGUGAAUCUCUAUAAAGAAAACUGUUGAUUUAUUUUGCAUGUUUUUUAACAGAAGUGUCAAUGAAGGUUCUAAAGGCUACUACAGUAGGAAAUUAAGUGAAUUCCACAUGGACACACACCUUUUUGAAGAUGAAGUGAAACAUUUCAUUUAUUUUAUCGAAAGUGAUGAGGUCUGUGCUUCGAGAUCACCAGUUGAUUUGUAUAGACUUGUACCUGACGGUUUGGAGGCAACCUUUCCUUAUAGAAACCAUUUUGAAAAUAUUUUUUAACAAUACCUGUCACAAAUGCUUCUGGUGAAAGUUCUUUUUCUGUACUGAAAUAAGUUAAAAUUAUUUGCUAUAUACAAUGAGUCAGGACCAUUUGACACGUUCAGCAAUAUUGACAAUUAAAAGUGCCUCUUUACAAACUAUUACUUACGAUGACUUAAUUGACGAUUUUGUUAAGAAAAAGUGUACAAAGAAAGCUAUCAAUACAUAUCUUUUUUCCAAAUUGAAUAUGUUUCUUCAGAGGAAGUUAACUUUUUUCCAUUCAUGCAUCAUCAAUACAUUUUAUUUUUACACAUUUUGCAUGUUAGCUUAAUACAAAUACAGUACAAGCUUUCAUUUAGACCAGAGGUUGUCAAACUGUGCUCCGAGAACUCCAUUGAGGUGGACCAAGGAAAGGUGGUUAUGUUUGUUGUAAUAAAGCAUUCUCAUCCAAAGCACUUUACAAUAGUUAGCUCAUGGUACAAACACUAUUUGGAAAGAUCAUUAAGUGGCCCACCAAGACCCUCAGCAAUUUUCAAGUGGUCUGUGGGGAAGAAAAGUUAAGAUGACAAAAACAUUCAAGGUUGGAGACCUCGUGAAAGUUACAAGAAUGAAUAUAAAUGGUCAGUGGGAAGGUGAAGUCAAUGGCAGAAAAGGGCUCUUCCCUUUCACGCACGUCAAAAUAAUUGACCCUCAAAACCCAGAUGAAAAUGAGUGAUUCCUGUUGCCCAGCUUACACUGCUGCUUCAUUUUUCUGGUAUUCGAGGUGGGGAUGGUGCCUGUUAAUGGCACACUGCUAGCACUGUCCAUUUUUUUUUCUAGCUUGCUGCAGUUUGAUGGUUCUUUUUAUACCCAUUUGGAAUGCACACAACUGAAGUCAUGUACUGACCAUACCAUAGUUGCAUCAUCCAGGCUGUAGCAUCGCUUCUAGAACUAUUUUGGCCCUUAAGAUGGAGAAGACUUGAAGCCACACAGGUAGAUAGGAGCAAGAAAAUCUUUCCUUUUGAGGCUUUCAAGGAUAGCAUAUUCUGGCCUAAUCAUUAGGAGGAGAGUUCUAACUCUCUCAGAUCAAAUAUGAAACUUUUGCAUCACUGUACAAACAGAGCAACAAGAAAAAACUGCAAUUUGGGGCUGAAGGAGGGAAGAGCUAGAUUUGAGCAAUCCCAAGAUAGUAUAAUCAAAAAGUCUUUUUUUAAGACAAAUUGGACAUUUUGAGCAGCUAUUUUAACAAGGUUGUUUU
Non-coding RNA from Pelodiscus sinensis (Chinese soft-shelled turtle), 1520 nucleotides. Lineage: Eukaryota; Metazoa; Chordata; Testudines; Trionychidae. The record is from RefSeq and is a predicted model, not a curated record.